AAUAGAUACCCAGGUAGUCCACGCCGUAAACGAUGAGUGCUAAGUGUUAGGGGGUUUCCGCCCCUUAGUGCUGCAGCUAACGCAUUAAGCACUCCGCCUGGGGAGUACGGUCGCAAGACUGAAACUCAAAGGAAUUGACGGGGGCCCGCACAAGCGGUGGAGCAUGUGGUUUAAUUCGAAGCAACGCGAAGAACCUUACCAGGUCUUGACAUCCCAUUGACCGCUAUGGAGACAUAGCUUUCCCUUCGGGGACAGUGGUGACAGGUGGUGCAUGGUUGUCGUCAGCUCGUGUCGUGAGAUGUUGGGUUAAGUCCCGCAACGAGCGCAACCCUUGUUCUUAGUUGCCAUCAUUUAGUUGGGCACUCUAAGGAAACUGCCGGUGACAAACCGGAGGAAGGUGGGGAUGACGUCAAAUCAUCAUGCCCCUUAUGACCUGGGCUACACACGUGCUACAAUGGACGGUACAAACGGUUGCCAACCCGCGAGGGGAGCUAAUCCGAUAAAACCGUUCUCAGUUCGGAUUGUAGGCUGCAACUCGCCUAC
RNAcentral lists this ribosomal RNA (543 nucleotides) under uncultured bacterium. Its description in RNAcentral is "bacterial SSU rRNA". It matches the Rfam family "Bacterial small subunit ribosomal RNA", at positions 777 to 1319 of the family's 1533-position model. The record is from RNAcentral.